GCGCCUGUAGCUCAGUGGAUAGAGCGUCAGUUUCCCUAGCAGCUAGUCGUAGGUUCGACUCCACUCUACCGGUGGCA
Marchantia paleacea is the source of this 77-nucleotide non-coding RNA. NCBI's taxonomy places the organism in Eukaryota, Viridiplantae, Streptophyta, Marchantiopsida, Marchantiales, Marchantiaceae. The record is from the annotation of a GenBank genome assembly.